RNAcentral lists this ribosomal RNA (195 nucleotides) under Triticum aestivum (bread wheat). RNAcentral's name for it is "partial small subunit ribosomal RNA". The record is from RNAcentral. Lineage: Eukaryota; Viridiplantae; Streptophyta; Magnoliopsida; Poales; Poaceae.
GUGAUCGUCCUCAUUCCAAAGGGUGAUGAUCCGCAGUCAAUCAAGGAUUAUAGGCCGAUCAGUCUGUGCAACGUCAUUUACAAGGUGGUGCCAAAAUGCCUUGUCAACAGACUUAGGCCCAUCUUGGAUGAGAUUAUAUCCGAGACGCAAAGUGCCUUUAUCCCGGGAAGAAUGAUCACUGACAACGCCAUCAUU